CGUCCAAAAAAAUUCCUUAAAAAGGCAAAAAUUAACCACCCUGGAAAAACAACAAGAGAGGAAUAUGAAAGAAGGCUGCUCUGUCACCAGUUUUGCAUUGCUAUUCCCAUUCUCUGUACUGGAACAUCAUUUGUUCAGCAGGGGAAUGAUCUUUGUGGUUGUUCAAAGUGUAUCACUGGCAGUUGAAUGUCACCAUCUACCUUUGGCUGAUUAAACUCUGUUUUGCUACAUCUGAUACAUCUGUAAGAACGCACCAUGCUGAUCAGGCAUACCUUUUCCACAAAAUGUCAUGCGUGUUUAUUAUUAGAUUAAGCUGCAGCAGGUUUAAUUUUAGAACUUUUUAUUCAAGUGGUACAAUGAAGAUUGAAUGCUAGGCAUUAUUAAAGAUGCAGAUGUGGAUAUAUUGAAUUAUAAACCUCAUUAAAUGCAAUGUCCUAGACAGGCUUAUGAGAUAAGCUACAAAGAACUUCCUUACUUCAUGCUAAAGUUAUUAAAAUAUUAGAAGGUAAAUCUAAUCAUAAAAAUAUUAUGAUAGAAUGAAACUGAUACUUUAAAAACCUUAUUACAAAAGACUGUAUUUCUUUCAUGUAUAAUUACUUCCUUUUCAACUUAGAUUGCUGGAUUUGAUAUUAAAAGGAAAUGUUCUUCCUCUUUUGAAUGCACAUAAAAAGCAAAUACAAUGGAGCCAAUUUUUAGUCACAACUUUUGGCAUUUGAAUCUUGAAUGGUCCUCCCCCUCCUCAUUGUCAUGUACUUAGUUCUCAUCGACAUUAAAGUUAUCCACUGAAAAUGAUAUACAGCCAUCUCCACUUGCAUGGAUGAGUGGCUCAGACACAACUAUCACAGAAAAUUUGUGAAGAGGUUUUGGAAUGUCUGAGGUGGCAAAAUUUAGAGAAGAGACCAACAACACAGAGCAUGGCAGAGAUUCAUGGAAAAAAUAAAGGCACAUUCAGAAUUCUCA
Molecule: long non-coding RNA, 960 nt
Filed under: Numida meleagris (helmeted guineafowl)
Lineage: Eukaryota; Metazoa; Chordata; Aves; Galliformes; Numididae
Description: lncRNA (ENSNMEG00000012850.1)
Source: RNAcentral